Triticum aestivum (bread wheat) is the source of this 812-nucleotide long non-coding RNA. RefSeq lists it as uncharacterized. Lineage: Eukaryota; Viridiplantae; Streptophyta; Magnoliopsida; Poales; Poaceae. The record is from RefSeq and is a predicted model, not a curated record. The transcript has 2 exons.
AGGCCUCACGGUGUGGUUCAUGUCUAGCAUACAUCGCUCUAUGUGAAUUUCUCGUCAAUAUAGAAUGUUUGGCGAUAUAACCAGGCUUGUAGGCAUUUUGUUGUGGCAUAUAUGCUUACUCAAACCAGUUGGAUAUGGAAUUGGCCCAGCUGCGCAAGGAGAACCAGAUGCUCAUCCAGCGGCACAGGGAUCUCAUAAACGUAAGUAUGCACAUUUAAUUGACUGAUGAGUUCCUCAGCCUUACUCUAUGCCAAUAUUUAACUUAGGAAAUGUGUUAAAUUUCUACUCAAAUGAAUAGAAAUUUUGGAUGGUUAUGUCUAACCAGCUGGUAUGACUAGGAAAAUAACUAAUAUUAUUUGGUUUGUGUAGCUGCACCUCUAAAUUACAAACCUCUUUUUUGUAACCACUCUGUAAUUGCCUUUAAAUAAAUUUAUUGGUAUUAUACUAUUAUCAAUGUUACACAAUUGCAUGGCCUGUAUUUUAUGUCCAUUUUAAUCCUUCUUAGGAAAUAUAUGUGAUCCUUUUUGGUCAAAAAAUAUAUGUGAUCCUUGCAUAAAAACCAAUAUUAGGUUUUGUGGGUCUCAAUUUCUCGAGAUUACAAGGAGCAUCGCAAUUAAAUGGUAGGAGUUUUGCAGCAUAGUUUUUGAUUUCGACUAAUGUCUUUGUCAGAUUAAAUCCAAUUUCCUCUUUGCAGGAUAGAUAAAUAUUUUACUCCGCAUGUCUUGACUAUGGAAUGAAAGACAAAAAUGUCUAUUGGCCAUUCCCUGGCAAAAUCUACACUGCCCAUAUAAUAUUCAUUUUGAGUGCUUAAA